Long non-coding RNA from Solanum pennellii, 2881 nucleotides. RefSeq lists it as uncharacterized. The transcript is spliced from 2 exons. NCBI's taxonomy places the organism in Eukaryota, Viridiplantae, Streptophyta, Magnoliopsida, Solanales, Solanaceae. The record is from RefSeq and is a predicted model, not a curated record.
CACGCGUAUGAGGAUUGCGCCUAAGAAAUUAACAGAUUAUGUUGUGACUAGUGCAAAUCACGUGUGUGUUGGAAAUUAGUAUAAGUAGCUAAUAUGAGGAUGAGUAGGGUAGGCAAUAAGUUGUAACAAAUUCUUAUUCUCAUCCUUGUGAUCUUCUCAUCCUCAUCAUCUUCUUUAUCUUAUUUUAUGCUUUUGUAUUGUCUUUGUUUCCUUCAAUUUCAGUUCUACUGUGAUCAAUUUGGCAGUGUUGUUCAUAAAAUAAUACUUCAGUUCCAUUGGUGCUUUCAUUGAACUGACUAUCACGUCACCAGAUUUGAAACUCAAAGCUCCCGCCAAAUCCAUCUCGGACUCUUCUGACCUUUCUGAUGCGGACCUCCAUUCCCAUCUAGCAAACCAACAAUUAGUGAUUCAGGAUCUUGCUGCGCAAUUUGCAAAUCUCAGCUCUCGUUUUAUAGUCGUUGGUGGUUGCUCCACCUUUUGGCUUGGCUGGUAGUGCCUCUGGUAGUCAUAUGACCAUUCGUCACAAACCGGCACCGAUUCAAUUUGGUCGUUUUAAUGGUGCUCAGGCAGACGCUUGGAUCUUUCAGGCUGAUGAUCAUUAUUUUGAUUUCUAAGGCAUUGUUGCUGAACAUAAAUUGACCUUGACUUCAUUUUACCUUGACAGUGAAGCAUUGGGGUGGUAUAAAUGGCUUUACUGCAAUAAGCAAUUGAGUGAUUGGCCUCGAUUUACAGAGAAAAUGCUUAGUCGCUUUCGUACCUGUCAUAUCCUUUUGCCGAAAAGUUCGUCUGUCUAAGAUGAUGCAAAAUUCUACUAUUGCAAACUUUCGUCGUCGUUUUGAGGCUGUUAUGAAUGAAACAAUGACGUUGCCUGAGGAGUUGUUGGUGGAAUGCUUUAUUUCGAGCGUUCGACCCAAUAAUUUUGACGGCUGUUACUGCUCAUCAGCCCACCCGAUUAAACCAAGUUAUUAACAUAGCCUAUAUUCCAGAGCAACAUAUUAUAUAUGAAAAAGGGCCGCCCGACCCGCCUUUGCUCGGACUCAACCCUUAUUACCCACACCAACUUCACAUUCAUCCCCAAUUGCGCCAACGGCGCCCUCUCGUGGUCGUCUUCCUUUUAAGCGUCCGUCUCAAGCUGAAAUGCAGAUUCGUCUAGAGAAAGACUUUGCUUCAAUUGUGACGAGAAGUAUUUUGCCGGCCACCGUUGUAAGACUAGCUUUCAACUAUUGCUUUUGUCGUAUGAGGUCGAGGAUCCCUUGCUUAUGCCAACACCUGAUAUAUCUGAGAAGGUCAUCACCGAUGAACUUCAACGUUUGGAGGUUCAGGCUCACUCCACUAUUCCUUAUGAUGCCUUAACUGGUGGUAUCGUAGACUAUGUGAUUCGUCUCACCGUACAUGUCACUGGUUCUCUGAUACAGGUGCUUGUAGACGGCGAUAGCACACAUAAUUUCAUUUAGUCUCGGGUGGCCAAGUUUCUCCAGCUCCCAGUAACACCAGUCCCUAUUUUCUCUGUGGUGGUAGGAAGUGGACAACUUCUCAAGUGUGAUGGUAUGUGUCGUCGUGUACCAUUGACAAUUUAGAGAUCAACUAUUUGUCUAGAUUUCUUUGUGUUAGCUGUUCAUGGGGCGAAUUUGUUCAUUGGGGCAUGAUAGAUGGCUACGUUAGGCCCUGUGGUCAAGGAUUAUGGAGCUCGUACUUUUUAACUCAACUUGGUGAACAGUAAUGCAGUUGGCAUGGCAAUCCACCAGAUGCACAACCCAUCUAGUUGCAUAGCCUUCGUCGUUUAACAUCUACUGAUGCCCGCCUAUAUCGUUAUCCUUAUUUUCAGAAGAAUCUCAUGGAACGAUUAGUUGGGGAUAUGCUUCGCGACAGGGUGAUUCGUCCCAGCACCAACCUCUAUUCUUCGCCUGUACUUUUACUACGCAAAAAAGAUGGCACUUGGCACUUUUGUGUGGAUAAUCGCGCCUUGAAUAUUGUCACAGUGCGCGACAGAUUUUUGAUUCCCACUAUUGAUGAACUUUUUGAUGAGCUUUAGGCUGCCCAAUUUUUUUCUAAAUUGGACUUAUUAUCAGACAAUUAUCAGAUUCGGGUCCGACCAGGGGACAUUGAGAAAACUGCAUUUCAGACCCAGAAGGGCAUCUGUUGAUUAUUUGGGCCAUGUUAUCACUACCGCUUGUUUAGCAGUGGACCCAACUAAAAUUACAGCGAUUCAGCAGUGGCCUACGCCUUCUUCCGUGAAAGAAGUACAAAGUUCCUUAGGAUUGGCUGGGUACGACCGUUGAUUUAUUCAUCUUUAUGCAUCCAUAGCUGCCACCUUGACUGAGUUGUUACGUAAGGAGGCCUUUGUGUGGGUUGUACCCCAAUAGGAAGCUGUUGAAGCGUUAAGGCUUUGUCUCAGCUCCACCCAUGUUUUGGCUCUUCAGGAUUUUAGCAAAGCUUUCCAAUUGGAAAUUGAUGGCUCUGGCAUUGACGUUGGAUCUAUAUUAUCACAGAAUGGCCAUCUGUUGCUUUUUUCAGUCAAAUACUUAGCAAACGCAUGCAACAAACUUCAACCUAUCACAGGGAAAUGUUCACCAUCAUUCAAGUUGUUGGCAAGUGGUGACAAUAUUUGUUGGGACGCCAAUUUACCACAGUGACUGAUCAACAGUCACUCAAGAACUUGACCACCCAAACUAUUCAGACACCUGAUCAACAAAAAUGGCUUAGCAAGUUGGUUGACUAUGACUUCACCAUUAUAUAUCGACCUGGCCAACAUAAUGGAGCUAUUGAUGCAUUGUCUAGAGUUUCGGAUAUCAUUUACAUGAUGCUAUCUGGGAGCGUGGCCUCUUUUCUUACUAAAUUAAGACACCUUAUUGUAUGCCUUUUUUUGUCAAGCAAUUAAUGU